AUGUCAACUGUGGCGUCAAGUUCCAAGAGGUCACGGGGACAAGCAGCACACGGUGUUGACAGACUCAGCAGCCUCCCAGACCCGCUGCUCCAUCUCGUGAUGUCCUUCCUGCCAAUGCCAGAAGUCGUGCGCACAAGCUUGCUCUCGCCAAGGUGGCGCUAUCUGUGGGCCUCUGCGCCGUUCAUCCACCUAGAUUACAAGGACUUUGUGAAUGGUGGUGAUGAUCUAAAGAAGAGAAAAUUUGAUCAGAACAGGCUGCAGAAGUUUGGGGACCAGUUGCUACUCUUGCGUGAUGGCACUCUGCCCCUGGAUGAAGCUCGGAUCUUCAUCAGAAGUGGUCCAAUUGCUGAGAAAUGCUGUACGUGGAUUCGUCAUGCUAUCAGGCAUAAAGCUCGUCUGCUUCAUGUUUAUGGUCUCCCCAUCGGAGAAGAAAUAUUUUUCGAUAAUAGAUCGAUGAUUCCUUCUCAGCACCUGAAAAGAAUCAGGCUCCAAAUGGUCACUUUGGAUAGCAUAUCCUUUAGGAUGCUAAAUUUUGACUUCCCUGCGCUUGAACAUUUAGAGCUGCAAGAUUGCAAUGUCUGGCCCAUGCAGAAGAUCUCAUCGAGGUCACUCAAGACUAUACAAAUAUCCCGCUGCGAUUUCGAGGAAGGUCAUGAGAUUUGUGCUCCGAAUCUAAACCAUCUGUCUAUCCUCGACUCAUCAUUUGGAGGUAUCCUUGUAACUAGGGAUCUGCAUUCUCUAGUUGCAGUUUCAAUAUGUCUAGGCAAUCAAGACGAAAUAUUGGAUCACCGUGUAUUUGAUGGCCUAUCACAAGUCACAACCUUGAAGUUGCAUGCACCAUUACCUGAGCCCACACUUGAGAGGAGUUUGCAAACAUGCCCGGUGUUCAGCAACCUCACAAGUCUGGUGCUGGGCGAAUGGUGCAUGGCUUCCGACUUUGCUCCGCUGCUUCUCAUUCUCCGGCGCUCACCUAAACUAAAGUAUCUGACCCUUAAGCUCAGAACGGAGCAGCAUGGAGAAUGCAAGGCUGCUGGCCGUAAUCCGUCUCCAAGGGAGGAAUCAUCUUUGGGCGGUUAUCCUAGCAUCAAGAGGACCGUGAUCUACUGCGGCAGAGAUGAUCCAUGGGUGAGCUCACUGGUGAAGGUGCUGCUGCCGAUCGUCAUCCCCUGCGGGGAGAUCAGCAUCAAAGGUCACUAG
Molecule: ribosomal RNA, 1197 nt
Filed under: Triticum aestivum (bread wheat)
Lineage: Eukaryota; Viridiplantae; Streptophyta; Magnoliopsida; Poales; Poaceae
Description: partial small subunit ribosomal RNA
Source: RNAcentral